Molecule: ribosomal RNA, 404 nt
Filed under: Fusobacteriota bacterium
Lineage: Bacteria; Fusobacteriati; Fusobacteriota
Description: Fusobacteria bacterium partial 16S ribosomal RNA
Rfam family: Bacterial small subunit ribosomal RNA
Source: RNAcentral
UGGGGAAUAUUGCACAAUGGAGGGAACUCUGAUGCAGCGACGCCGCGUGAGUGAUGAAGGCACUCGUUUCGCAAAACUCUGUUCUAUGGGAAGAAAAGGACUGUACCAUAGGAGAAAGCUCAGGCUAAAUACGUGCCAGCAGCCGCGGUAAUACGGAUGGAGCGAGCGUUGUCCGGAAUUAUUGGGAGAAAAGUGAGCGCUGGCGGCAUUACAAGUUGGAUGUGAAAUAUUGUGGCUCAACCACAAACGUGCGUCCAAAUCUGCAAAACUUGAGUUAGGGAAAGGUAAGGGGAAUUCCUAGUAUAGCCGUGGAAUGCGAAGAUAUCAAGAGGAAGACCGGUGGCGAAGGCGACAUACAGAACUUAAAAUGACGCACAGGCACGAAAGCGUGGGGAGCAAACAGG